GGGCAGCAUGGUCUUAGCUUGCUAAGGCCGAUGGCGACCGGCGCACGGGUGAGUAACACGUAUCCAACCUGCCGUCUACUCUUGGACAGCCUUCUGAAAGGAAGAUUAAUACAAGAUGGCAUCAUGAGUCCGCAUGUUCACAUGAUUAAAGGUAUUCCGGUAGACGAUGGGGAUGCGUUCCAUUAGAUAGUAGGCGGGGUAACGGCCCACCUAGUCUUCGAUGGAUAGGGGUUCUGAGAGGAAGGUCCCCCACAUUGGAACUGAGACACGGUCCAAACUCCUACGGGAGGCAGCAGUGAGGAAUAUUGGUCAAUGGGCGAGAGCCUGAACCAGCCAAGUAGCGUGAAGGAUGACUGCCCUAUGGGUUGUAAACUUCUUUUAUAAAGGAAUAAAGUCGGGUAUGGAUACCCGUUUGCAUGUACUUUAUGAAUAAGGAUCGGCUAACUCCGUGCCAGCAGCCGCGGUAAUACGGAGGAUCCGAGCGUUAUCCGGAUUUAUUGGGUUUAAAGGGAGCGUAGAUGGAUGUUUAAGUCAGUUGUGAAAGUUUGCGGCUCAACCGUAAAAUUGCAGUUGAUACUGGAUAUCUUGAGUGCAGUUGAGGCGGGCGGAAUUCGUGGUGUAGCGGUGAAAUGCUUAGAUAUCACGAAGAACUCCGAUUGCGAA
RNAcentral lists this ribosomal RNA (663 nucleotides) under uncultured Bacteroidales bacterium. RNAcentral describes it as "bacterial SSU rRNA". It matches the Rfam family "Bacterial small subunit ribosomal RNA", at positions 67 to 719 of the family's 1533-position model. The record is from RNAcentral. Lineage: Bacteria; Pseudomonadati; Bacteroidota; Bacteroidia; Bacteroidales.